Bombus huntii is the source of this 4918-nucleotide long non-coding RNA. RefSeq lists it as uncharacterized. The transcript has 4 exons. NCBI's taxonomy places the organism in Eukaryota, Metazoa, Arthropoda, Insecta, Hymenoptera, Apidae. The record is from RefSeq and is a predicted model, not a curated record.
UCGAUAAUAAAACACACGUACGUACAGUUUGGUGUUUCAGAAUGACCCCAGCUUGGUAUUAACGAGUAAAAAUUACAAGAUCUUCGGAUCGUCUGUACGCGUGUCGAAGAAAAGCUGAUAAGACGUCCGAGCGCGUCAAAGGCUUCGAUAAGCAAGGGAAAAAGGGUGGAAAAACUAAAGAUAGGGAUGGAAAAAGAGGAAGAUCGAAGGGGUACGGAGCAAAUAAUAUUAUUUCCCAGCCACGUAGAGAAGCGGAUAAUAGCGUGGCGAGGCAAAACAGCUCCUCGUGAUUGCCGAUCGGCUUACGAGGACGAGACUUAAAAGCUCGAACGGGAAUCAAUUGCAUAAGCCUGUAAGGCGUUAGAGGAGUCAGCCGAGCGUGCGCACGGCACGUGAUGUUGUCGAGAGAGUGUUACCACAUGCCUACGAUCGCCUAUCGGACGUUUCAACUUUGUUUCCCCACUACGUUCUUCUACUUUCAUGUUAACGUUAAUCAUUCUUGCAACAGAUUAUUAGUUGCAUCAUUUCGAAUAUUACGAGGUUAAAUAUGAAACGUCGCUUUUCUCAAAUACUACUUUAUCUUCCUCUUUUGUUACGCAUUAUUUUUUCCAACGAUUCGUUAAUUUGAUUACACUCUCGAACAGUUUGAUGAUUUCUUAAUGCGAUCUAGCGUUACGUUCAUUCUUCGUUUCAUUUUUCUUUUUGCCCUAUAUAAUUUAAUAAAAUAAACGCAACCUUUCGUUGGUCCAAAUACGAUCGAUAUAUCGGCCAUCGUUGAAAAAUCGAACAGGAAUGUUAUCACAGUGACAAUUUGCCGCGGGUUACUUUUGAUAUUUUAUUGAUCUACGCGUUGAAACGAAUCCAUUGAUAUACGAUAUAUCGUUCUCUUUCUACGAAACGUGGCUUUGUUAACGAUAUAUCAAAUUGAACGUCUAAUAAUAUGGAAGAUGUAUAAUAUUUAUACACAGCAAAUAUGGUUUAUUUAUACGUUCCACUAUUUUUUUUUAUCCCUGCUUCUGUAACUAAAAAUAGCAUCGCCACUCAUUUAAGAUACAUUUUAUUCGUCGCAUCUGUACGAUAAAUGUUAAUUAAAUAGAGGAACUUUAUUCUGGUGGAGUGGAACGGCCACGUUCUACGGAGAUCCGUGCGUUCGCACCGGUUGCAAAAACCUAGGCGUAAAAAGGCAAUCGAUAUCGAUCGUACGUAACCUCUCUCCUGGAGCUGGUCGACGAUUGAAACGCGAAUAGGCUGGUCGGCUCGAUUCUCAACGUUACCCGUUUGCCUCUCGUAGCAAGAGCAGACACGAUCGCUUUUUGCCGUUAUAACGUCGACGCGAACGACACUUCGCGGUCCCGUGACCGACGUCCGAGCCAAUUAUACGGGAAACGUCGUAGGAAAAAGCGAACGGCGUGUCUCGACUCUGUUCCCCGUCGCCUGGUAACACUCGACCAACGACAGAUCGAUGGAUCGAGCGGCUUUUUCUUUUUGCUUCGUUCCUCUGGACAAGAAUCGCUUUGGCUUCGGAGAAAAUUAAUGUGGUAUUGUGGUAUCGACAGUUUGUUGCUGUUAGAGGAAGACAUAGGGCUGGGAAGAGCAUUUUGUAAAUUGUUAGGGAGUUCUCUGUUUGCGAGGAAUCAAUUAGGUGUACGUAGACGUAGCACCGAUUGCACCGGGUAUUGAAAAUCAUCGAUACGUACAGGCUCACGAAGGUAUUCCAGCGCUCGUAGCUUUGUUUUAUGCAUUAGGAGGACAAAGUUUCCCUAUAGACCGUGAUGAAGAAUUCAUGACGGCUAUAAACGAAGAAACGAUCGCGACAAGUUCCCCGCCAGAAGGGGUCGCAUCUCGAGCAAUUAUCGAGCGAUUUCUAUCACGUGAAUUUGCAACGAAACGCGUCGAGGGUGAAUUAUGAGUUGAGAGAAAAGCGAUUUAGAGGAUCAACCGAUCAAACUUAAGUAAAGGCAUGCCUUCCAGCAUCCGUACCGAACGCGAAACUUAUCUAAAGAUACGAUCCAAACCGAAAAGUCAAUUUUCUUGAGCCAAAGCGAGUCGGCCCCCAUCCCUUCGAGAUAAUAUCGUCGUUUACGAAGCUCCCGUGCACUUCUCCCGGAUCCAGGAAGCACAUGAUCUGGCAAACUUCCGCAUCAACGCCGCCGGAAGAGUGGAACUGAACGAUGUAACGGAUAUGACCGAGGAAAUCGAAGAUCUUGCGGUAUUGUUAAGGAAAAUUAACCAGUUGACUGAGGAAAGAGUCGUGAACACGUUCCGUGUCGCGCGUGAUAAUCGGGAUAAGGAUGAAAGAUGAAUUUUAUUACUGUAUCGAAGAGUAAAGUGUGUAAAACUUUCAGAGUUAAGUUAAUACAGGAUGCAUUUAAAUUGAUAAGAAAUAGAACAUGAAUUCUCGUGCGUUUAUGGGAAAUUUGAAAGUGCGAAAUUGCACAGAAUGCGUACGAUACCAGAAAACGUAUAAAAUAUCCAAAGUAUAUGCGGUGCUUUCUAUAACACUUGAUUAAACAACUUUCUACCGAUAUUCUACCUUUUUUUAUUCUACUACUACAAAUAUGAAUUUGCAUGAAAAUCAGUUGCACGAAAGUCGGCGGAAAAGUAGUUUAAUAAAUAAUAAAAAAAUAUCGACAGAAGAUGGACAAAGUUGUAAAAUUUUGUUUUAAGAAAUUCAACGUGCUCCUCCAUGGAAUAUCUACAGUCCAAUGGACGAUAACGUUGCUCCAAUUACUAUAAUCGAUAUCAUGGAAAUUUGAAUUGCCUAAAUUUUCAGAUAAAUUCGAUUAUAUUAGACAAUUUUUAAUUGCCAGAAAAUAUGAUAAAUUUCCAGAAUUUUGUCUUAAAAAAACACUCGUGUGCCACCCUCAUCGCACACCCUUGUGCACCUAUCCUUUCCAGCAAUUUUUCUCCAUCUAAACCCCGUUAAAUAUUCCUCGAAGAAGAACGGGAAAUCGAAAAGAGACUGUACGACAAUCCGAAACAACGUCCUUAUUUCCUAUCUUUCUCGUCCGCAUCUACUUGCGAAUUUUUCUCGGUCUUGCCCCCUAUGGAAUAUUCCUUAGGGGAGAGGAAAACGAGAAACUAAAAAAGAGGGGGGAAAAAAGAAAGGAAGGAAGAGAAAAAAGUGGACUGGGUCAUCCAUCACGGCUCUCAUCAGCCGCUGUUAACUGAUCCACUUCAAAAGGUACACCAAUACCGACGCCCGAUUGUGCAACUAUGCGCGCCGCUGAAGAGAAGCAAACGAGCGGUCAUGACAAGAUUGAUGUGCAUUUUCGGUGCACCGACGAAUAAUUGAUUUUCGAGUCGACCAACGAUCUCGAUCAUCCUGCCAGUCGGGAGAUGGACGUGCCUCGCGAUCUGCAUCGUAUAUUAUCACCGGGGUCACCGAGGGGGUUGGGCGACAAGGGGGUGGAAAAAACGACUUCAUAUUUGCUCACUACCGUUUCCUUUUUUUUUUCAAUUUCAUCGUAUUUUAUUAUAUGUAUCGUCUAUUUUUUUCUUUUUUUAUUUCAUGACAUUUUACGUAGGUAUUAACGAUUCCAGUAUCGUUGAUCGUAAAUUGAUAUUUUGGAAAGCGUUCGAGGUGAUCGUAACGUUGCGCGAAGUUUAAACUUCAAAUUUUCACCGAUGCAGUUCAAAAUAGGAUAUAAAACGAAAAACCAUAAAUUCUUCGAUAAUGAACUUUUGCUGACCCGACAUCUCUAACGACAAAUUAUUUUGUGAAGUUGUAGUAUAAUCGACACACCAAACGCAAGAUGAAUCCCUAAGUUUGUCAAUAAUUUCUUAUUCGUUCAAUUUAUCCGAGCUCUCUUGCGAAUAAUUUUCCUUUGUUAUAUAUCCCGCUAGUCACGAUCUGCUUCUCACUUCGUUAACAAGAUUCAAAUUAUUAUUUUCGAAACGUAACGCAACGCGGGACUCGCAGAAAGAUCGAGAAGAUCGUAACGUAACGGUUCACGUGGCUCGCAACAUCGUAACAUGAGAGAUGGAGGAACGUUAGAAAAGCGAAAACGGUGGAAAGUCGUAGAAAUCAACAAUUUCCUGGGGACGUAUCCGUGAAACGCAGUUUCCCCUUGGUUACAACGACAGGAAGUCGAGAAUACCUGAUAAACCGUCCCCGAUAACCGCGCUGCAACUCUCGCGCGUUACGCGGACCUCCGCGCUCGCAUUCAUAUUUAAAUUCAAUUUCGUCUAGACGCGCCGGCUCCGAAUAAAGGCCGGCCAAGUGUCGCUGCCCGGGGAGAAAUUUGACGAAUGAACAACGCUGCGUCGAGGAAUUUCCCCCUUUUUAUGAAUUAGCCAGCUGGAGGAGUAGUACCGUCAUGGAAAUCGCUGAAAUCCUCGAUCGUUCGAGCGUGACAGUCUCAAGAAGCAAGUCGAGUUAUGCAAAUGAUGAAAAAAGAACGAACCGGCAGCGUUGCCUCUUACAGAACAGAAUUUUCUGAGUUUAUUCGAGAUUUUUGGAUCGCCGGAUAUAUUAAGAUACGUAAGAAUUUUUUAAGAAUAAAACGGUGCUCUAUAUAUAUAUAAAUCGGAAUUUUUGAAGGACUUCUAGCUUGAAAAUGAUAAGCUUCGUAACUGUUGGAGAUUCGAGCUGAUAGGAAAGAAGAAGUUGGAGAAGAAAUCUUUCUCGUGCCUUAAUACAGUGGAUGAUGGCAAAAUUCCGAGGCGAGCGGUAUAUUUCAGACUAUAAGAAUUCCAUAGGGCCGUAAUACCGUGAAUUAUAAAGCUCCUAUAACUCAUAGAGGGCUGAGAGAGGGAAACGUGGCCGUGCCAAUUGGAUUGGGUCUUAUCUGGCGAAUGAAAAAUGGAAUGGAGACAGACGGACCAGAGCCUGGAAAUUUUGGCCAAACAAGAACUAAAUAAAUCAUCGGCGUUUCCUUCCUUAACGUUCGAUUCGAUAUUCCUGUCGUACUUUAAC